This 467-nucleotide ribosomal RNA is filed under the name uncultured bacterium. RNAcentral describes it as "partial 16S ribosomal RNA". It matches the Rfam family "Bacterial small subunit ribosomal RNA", at positions 28 to 506 of the family's 1533-position model. The record is from RNAcentral.
GACGAACGCUGGCGGCGUGCUUAACACAUGCAAGUCGAACGGAAAGGCCCUGCUUUUGUGGGGUGCUCGAGUGGCGAACGGGUGAGUAACACGUGAGUAACCUGCCCUUGACUUUGGGAUAACUUCAGGAAACUGGGGCUAAUACCGGAUAGGAGCUCCUGCUGCAUGGUGGGGGUUGGAAAGUUUCGGCGGUUGGGGAUGGACUCGCGGCUUAUCAGCUUGUUGGUGGGGUAGUGGCUUACCAAGGCUUUGACGGGUAGCCGGCCUGAGAGGGUGACCGGCCACAUGGGGACGGGGAAACGGCCCAGACUCCUACGGGAGGCAGCAGGGGGGAAUAUUGCAAAAGGGGCGGAAGCCUGAUGCAGAAACGCCGGGUGCGGGAGGACGGCCUUGGGGUGGUAACCCGUUUUCCCCGGUGACGAAGGGUGGGUGACGGUAAUGGGAAAAGAAGCACCGGCUAACUACGU